GACAGCAGCCAUGUCACUCUGCAAUUUACAUCUGGCAACCCACUGAAGCUAAGCAAGUGUGAGCCUGGUCAGUACCUGGAUAGGAGACCUCCUGGGAAAACUAAGGUUGCUGCUGGAA
Ribosomal RNA from Lepisosteus oculatus (spotted gar), 118 nucleotides. NCBI's taxonomy places the organism in Eukaryota, Metazoa, Chordata, Actinopteri, Semionotiformes, Lepisosteidae. The record is from Rfam.